RNAcentral lists this ribosomal RNA (440 nucleotides) under uncultured bacterium. RNAcentral describes it as "partial 16S ribosomal RNA". It matches the Rfam family "Bacterial small subunit ribosomal RNA", at positions 338 to 795 of the family's 1533-position model. The record is from RNAcentral.
CCUACGGGCGGCAGCAGUGGGGAAUAUUGCACAAUGGGGGAAACCCUGAUGCAGCGACGCCGCGUGAGCGAUGAAGUAUCUCGGUAUGUUAAGCUCUAUUAGUAGGGAAGAAAAUGACGGUACCUGACUAAGAAGCCCCGGCUAACUACGUGCCAGCAGCCGCGGCACUACGCAGGGGGCAAGCGUUAGCCGGAUUUACUGGGCGUAAAGGGAGCGUAGACGGUCCUACAAGCCAGAUGUGAAAGCCCGGGGCGCAACCCCGGGACUGCAUUUGAAACUGUAAGGCUAGAGUGUCGGAGAGGCAGGCGGAAUUCCUAGUGUAGCGGUGAAAUGCGUAGAUAUUAGGAAGAACACCGGUGGCGAAGGCAGCCUGCUGGACGAUGACUGACGUUGAGGCACGAAAGCGUGGGGAGCAAACAGGAUUAGAUACCCGUGUAGUC